GUCUACGGCCAUACCACCCUGAACGCACCCGAUCUCGUCUGAUCUCGGAAGCUAAGCCGGGUCGGGCCUGGUUAGUACUUGGAUGGGAGGACCCUCUUCCUAGGAGAAUUGGAGAUACAGGAGAAU
This 126-nucleotide ribosomal RNA is filed under the name Sorex araneus (European shrew). The record is from RNAcentral. Lineage: Eukaryota; Metazoa; Chordata; Mammalia; Eulipotyphla; Soricidae.